Molecule: ribosomal RNA, 464 nt
Filed under: Vreelandella stevensii
Lineage: Bacteria; Pseudomonadati; Pseudomonadota; Gammaproteobacteria; Oceanospirillales; Halomonadaceae
Description: partial 16S ribosomal RNA
Rfam family: Bacterial small subunit ribosomal RNA
Source: RNAcentral
CCUACGGUGGCAGCAGUGGGGAAUAUUGGACAAUGGGCGAAAGCCUGAUCCAGCCAUGCCGCGUGUGUGAAGAAGGCCUUCGGGUUGUAAAGCACUUUCAGUGGGGAAGAAAGCCUUGGGGCUAAUACCCUCGAGGAAGGACAUCGCCCACAGAAGAAGCACCGGCUAACUCCGUGCCAGCAGCCGCGGUAAUACGGAGGGUGCGAGCGUUAAUCGGAAUUACUGGGCGUAAAGCGCGCGUAGGCGGUCUGAUAAGCCGGUUGUGAAAGCCCCGGGCUCAACCUGGGAACGGCAUCCGGAACUGUCAGGCUAGAGUGCAGGAGAGGAAGGUAGAAUUCCCGGUGUAGCGGUGAAAUGCGUAGAGAUCGGGAGGAAUACCAGUGGCGAAGGCGGCCUUCUGGACUGACACUGACGCUGAGGUGCGAAAGCGUGGGUAGCAAACAGGAUUAGAUACCCCAGUAGUC